Molecule: long non-coding RNA, 1448 nt
Filed under: Olea europaea subsp. europaea
Lineage: Eukaryota; Viridiplantae; Streptophyta; Magnoliopsida; Lamiales; Oleaceae
Source: RNAcentral
CUUCCUCAUAAUAAUGACCCAUCAUCGAAAGUCCACUUAUCUCACGGAUGUCCCAAAGAAAAAUGCCAAUUUCACCAUUGGCAGUCACAAAGGUGUUGGUUUCUGGACACCAAACCUCACAAAGAGUUCUGUAAAUGGAGUUUGGGCGAUGGUAAUCUUUUGCAGCAGAACUGACUGCAAAAGCUAACUCUCAGAGAUUCCUCUUGAGUAGAAGUUUCUGGACCCACAAAGACCACUCCCUAAAUUUUGGAAGAAAAGAAAUCUCUCCUCGACUGACUAGUGCGCUUCCCCAUCGUAUCUCUCUAUUAUCAAUUCUCUCACAAAUCACAACCCUUGGAAUGUACUCCAUGCUCUGGGAAUGAUGAGGUGGAAGACACAAAAAGGGAAGAUGACUGCUAGAGCGAUUGGACUUACUAGUAUCCAAACUCUCGUGACAAUCACUAAUGGUGGACAUAUACAACUCCGACAAUGGCUCCAGAAGGUCGAGGGAAGGAUCUGUCGUUGGCUUAUGGACACUAACUUUAAGUUCACCUCGUACGCGGUCUGGGCAUGGUACUUCACAUCAGUAUCUUUGAAAUGCAGAUAACUUUUGCCUUAAUUUUUAAACUCAACAAUUUCAUGCAUGUCAGAACACACUUUAUCAUUAGAACUUGUUCCAGCCAUGUUUGCAAAAAAAAAAAAAAAAAAAAAGUCAGCCAAAAAAAGAAAAAGGGACAGUAAACCUUUCAAAUUGGUUUAUUGUCUAAAAUCUUGAGUUUCCAAAAUAUGUAAGCAAUCUCUACAAAAAAUGCCUUGGAUGGUCAAAGGAACAGGUCCUUGAUCCCCAAGCAUGAAGUGCCUUGGACAGUUGAAGGAGUCACUCCUUAGUCCUCAACACAAAGUGUCUUGAACGAUUGAAGGAGCCAGUCCUCGGUCUUCAACACAAAGUGUCUUCGAUGAUGGAAGGAGCAGGUCCUUGGUUCUCAACACAAAGUGCCUUGGACAGUCGAAGGAGCCAGUCUUUGGUUCUUAACACAAAGUGCCUUGGACAGUCGAAGGAACCAGUCCUUGGUCCUUAACACAAAGUGUUUUGAAUAGUCGAAGGAGUCAGUCCUUGGUCCUUAACACAAAGUGCAUUGGACGAUGGAAGGAGCAGGUCCUUGGUCCUUAACAAAAAGUGCAUUGGAUGGUGAAAAAUGACAGUCCUUGAUCCUCAACGUGUACAGAGGUUUGCAAUUUUGAGUUUAUUCAUAAACAUGUAAUUUCUGAACUCGUAAAAUAAUUGCAACAAAGAAAAAAAACCUCUACACGCAAAAAAAAAAAAAUUGAACCUCAAAAUCCUUGAUUUGCUCCAAAAGGCUGAAUCCCUGCAACAACAAAAAAAAUGAAGAAUGUUAGUUUCGAUUUUAUUAACAAAAAAAAACGACCACACCAAAAUAAUAAUUGCAAAAAAAAAAACGAAACAAGAG